This 963-nucleotide long non-coding RNA is filed under the name Homo sapiens (human). Its description in RNAcentral is "HSALNT0021534". The record is from RNAcentral. Lineage: Eukaryota; Metazoa; Chordata; Mammalia; Primates; Hominidae.
GUGACUAUCUCUGCCUCAGACUCCUUUCUUGGGCCCUUCCUCCUCACGCCCUUCCUCCUAAAAAUCUUCCUCCUAAAAACCUUCCUCCAUUGAACCUCCUAAUAGUUUGAUUUUAUUUCUUGUGAUUAUGAUAUUUAGCCAUAUUUUUUGUUGAGGUAAAAUUCACAUAAAUAAAACUAACCAUUUUAAUGUGUACAAUUCAGUGGCGUUUAGUACAUUUACAGUGUUGUGCAACUGUUACUUCUGUCUAGUUUCAAAACAUUUUUAUCCACCCGCAAAGAAGGCCCAAUACCUACUAAACAGUCACUUCCCCACCAUUGCCCCCUCCCCUAGCCUGUGGCAAGUACUAGUUUCCCUUCUCUUUCUGUGGAUUGACCUGUUCUGGAUAUUUCAUAUAAAUGGAAUCAUACAGUAGGUGACCUUUUGUGUCUGGCUUCUUUCACUUAGCUUAUUUGCAAAGUUCAUCCAUGUUGUAGCACUGUAUCAGUACUUCAUUCCUUUUUAAUAGCUGAAUAAUAUUUCAUUGUAUGAAUAUACCACAUUUUGUUUAUCCAUUUAUCUGUUGAUAAAUGUUUGGGUUAUUUUCACCUUUUGGUUAUUGUGGUAAUGUGAAUAGGGCUGCUGUGAACAUUCAUAUGUAAUUAUUUGUUUGAAUUUCUGUUUUCAGUUUUGGGGACAUAUACCUAGGAGUAGAAUUGCUAGGUCAUAUGGUAAUUCUAUGUUAAACUUAUUAAGGAACUGCCAAACUUGUCUGCAGUGGCUGCACCAUUUUAUAGUCCCACCAGCCGUAUUCAAGGGUUCCAAUUUUUCCACAUUCUUGCCAACACUUUUAUAUUGCUAUUAUUGUUAUUAUAGUAGCCAUGCUACCUGGUGUGGAGUGGUAUCUUAUGGUUUUGAUUCGGGCAUGUUUUCAAAUGCUUAUUGACCAUUUGUAUAUCUUCUUUGGAGAAAUGUCUAUUCAAG